This 253-nucleotide ribosomal RNA is filed under the name uncultured bacterium. RNAcentral's name for it is "partial 16S ribosomal RNA". It matches the Rfam family "Bacterial small subunit ribosomal RNA", at positions 524 to 776 of the family's 1533-position model. The record is from RNAcentral.
UACAGAGGUCUCAAGCGUUGUUCGGAUUCAUUGGGCGUAAAGGGCGCGUAGGCGGCGGGGUAAGUCGGGUGUGAAAUCUCAGAGCUCAACUCUGAAACUGCACUCGAUACUGCUCUGCUUGAGGACUGGAGAGGAGACUGGAAUUUACGGUGUAGCAGUGAAAUGCGUAGAGAUCGUAAGGAAGACCAGUGGCGAAGGCGGGUCUCUGGACAGUUCCUGACACUGAGGCACGAAGGCCAGGGGAGCAAACGGG